Molecule: long non-coding RNA, 2969 nt
Organism: Gavialis gangeticus (Gharial)
Lineage: Eukaryota; Metazoa; Chordata; Crocodylia; Gavialidae
Exons: 4
Source: RefSeq, a predicted model, not a curated record
UAGACAAAGCUUUGGCUGGGAUGAUCUAGUUGGGGAUGGUUCUGUUUUGAGCAGGGAACUGGACUAGAUGCGACCAGCCCUAACUAUGAUAAUAUCCAUCUUCGACACUUAAGAUCUUAACAGAUUUUCAAUGCUGGAGGCUGCAAGUGGGAGAGGAAAAACCCUGAUCAGACCCAGUUCACUCUCCCUUUCUGUUCACUCUUUGCCAACGUCUGACAUAGGCCUAUUUGAUGUGCUAAAGGGGGAUCAUGCACUGAGAAACUGUAAGCCUCCCUUAAGAAGGGAGCCCAUUACAGAGAAGUCUACUGAUUCCUUGGGACAAAUCAGUGGCAACGCUUAGCGGGUGCACAUCUUCGAGAGCACUGGAGCACCUGAACAGGCAAAUUUCAUUGUUUGUCCAACAAAUCAUAACAGAAAGGAAGGGAAUGUGGUCAUGCGUUAAUAGCAACGACUCCUCCUGAUGCCUUGGGAAAGGGGCACCGAGCACAGCAUGGGGGCCAGUGCCAAAUGCCCCCCAGGUCAAAAGAGCUUGUGGAUGCCACCUAGUGAAAUUCUGGCCGGACACAUUAACAGAUAAGCACAAGGCAGCCCCACACUCGCCCAAGGUCACUUCCCACCCCCUACAGCGUCCUCCCUGGCCUGGCAGACAGGUCCACAUGAUGCAGAAGGUCAACGUGUGCUUAGCGCCCGCAGAGCAAUGGCAGAGCCAGCCAGGCGGUGCCCCCCAGCCCCCGACGGAACCAGUGGCUGCUGCCUGGGGCAGCUCUGCCUGAAGACGUAAGCAGAUCAGUACAGGUUUGCCAUCGAUCCAACUCUGAUCAUUGGCGCUUGUCUCCUAUGGACGCUGCUCCAGUAAGUAUGCUGACACCUCCGACUCUGCUUUGGUGCUCAGCCUCUCUACACUCUGCUACCAGUCGCCCCUGCUGGCACAAGCCACCUUCUCACUCUGCUCUGGCUGCAGUGUGGAACUCACUUCUGGUUCCCCCCGGUGUUGUCCUGCAGCAGUUUUAAACCAGUGCCUGUGUUCUGCCCUGUGAAUCAGUGCUGGCAUGCAAUUACGAGGUAUGCCCAUGCCAGAGGCAUGUGCUCACUCCAUUCUUCUGCUGCCGGCAGCCCAUCGGCUUGUGAUCCCGGCGUCUGUGCAAUUCUUUAAAAGUGGUCAUGACAGCUGGAUCCUGAUUCUGCACUGGUUACUACAAGGUUUCAAGGUUAAAGUGAGUUUUUAAGAAGGAUUUGAAUGGCACACAGAGCUGGACAAAAUGUUUGAACCAACUUGAAAAUAAGAUGUUGGUAAGAAGACUUGUAGAAUUCUCCACAGAAUCCCUCUAGUCCAGUUUAUUUGUUUACAUCUGGGAAAGCAGCAUCCUCUUUCCUCAGAAAUCCUGUAUUUAACCACUUUGUGGAUAUCUCUGAAAAAGAUUUACCCCUCUCUCCAACCCAAGUAUUCUCACCUACUUUCCCACAGUUGGAAGGAUAUCACUCAUUUCUAAAACUUUAACUGUACCUAACAAUCUCUUAAAACAUCUUGUUUAACAAAAUGUAUUAAUUGAAUCAAGAAAGGUUUGGAAUCUCUGGUUAAGGUAUUUCUUUUUCUCAGAACAUAUACUCCUUUGUUAAAUCCCAGUAGCUGAGCACCUCCCAUUUUUUCUUUUCAGAUUGAAGUAUAAAGCUGAAGAAUGCUUUGUUCCCUCUUCCUUCCAAAGGAAGUUAACUCAAAAUACCAUUCAUAAUAGACAAUAAUGACUGGCAAUGAAAUUGACAGUAUGUAAAAAAAUUGUGCCUCGUCCCAUUUGUUACCACAAAAGGGAAGUUAUACAAGAGUGGGGAAGAAAAAAGGAGCAUCUAUCAGCUCUUAAACUAAGAUUUUAUUCAUGCAAUUGUACAGCUAUAACUAUGUAUGGAUAGCAAUGCUCAUACAAUAGCCCAGGUUACCAACCCUUUACUGGGGAAUCCAGCAGGUUUUUGGUUUCCUGUUUCUCAUGGUGGUGUUUUUUUUCCCAAGCCAUAACUCAAGGCCCUUCUUCUAUAUCCAAGCAGCUAACUGACUAUACAAAGCAGCUAGCUGUAUAAAUAAUCUACUUAGUUAUGUAAAACAUCUAGUCUAGCACACACUUUUGUUUAAAGGACUGUUGGCACCUGAUCCAACUAGCUGGAACUGGGACAGGAAACAUCACCCAUUUUGAGAGCUGAGGGUCUAUUCAGAUUAAAAGAGCUCUUCCAUAGGUAUGCAAAAAUAGCUAAGGGUAGGGUCAUCAGUCUCUUAGUCAUGUAGAAUGGCUAAGGGUUGGCCUAUCAUUCUUUCAGUUGUACAGGGACAGCUAGAGGUGGCCCCUCUGCCCAGGCUGGACCUUACACUAUGCCUCACUCCUACCAAAUAAAAUUCUGUACAGGUUUACUGAAAUCCACUUAAGCUGUACUAUGCAUAUCUACAUGAUGAGAGGUUCAGUAAGACUUUGAUACCACUUUCAUAUGUACCUUUAAAUGAAAAUUUACUGAAACCUGGACAGCUGUUUUCUCUUCUACUUUUUAGGCUCUGAAAUUCUUUAUUACCACUACUGAUCAUCUCUGUAUACAUAGACUGAAAACCAAAGAUUUUAUUUUGUGUUACCUCAGGAAAUCCAUAUUUACAAGCCUUUGUAAAAACAAUCAUACCAAUCCUGAAGUCUGUCUUCACCUUGGCUGCUUAAAUUACAGUGUGGAAGCAAGAACGUGCUUGCCUAUGCCAAUGAUGGGGUGCUCACUCUUUCCAGCAAGGGUAAUACAGAUAUAUUAUUUGAAUUAUGCCUGCCCAUUUAAAAUAUUAUUUAACUUUAUUUCUAUAAUUAACCCAGAUGCAGAGACCUAAUUGGCAUAUCCACUUUCCUCUCCUGUGCAAUUUUAUUUACUCCUUUUCUUCUUUUUUCUCUGCCUUGAAAAUCUGCAUUAACUGAACCACUGAUACUUUUAAUAAAAAUCACCAUGAUUUCACA